RNAcentral lists this ribosomal RNA (876 nucleotides) under uncultured Streptococcus sp. RNAcentral describes it as "bacterial SSU rRNA". It matches the Rfam family "Bacterial small subunit ribosomal RNA", at positions 75 to 936 of the family's 1533-position model. Lineage: Bacteria; Bacillati; Bacillota; Bacilli; Lactobacillales; Streptococcaceae. The record is from RNAcentral.
GGAGCUUGCUCUUUCCGGAUGAGUUGCGAACGGGUGAGUAACGCGUAGGUAACCUGCCUGGUAGCGGGGGAUAACUAUUGGAAACGAUAGCUAAUACCGCAUAACAGUUGGUGUUGCAUGACACAAGCUUGAAAGGGGCAAUUGCUCCACUACCAGAUGGACCUGCGUUGUAUUAGCUAGUUGGUGAGGUAACGGCUCACCAAGGCGACGAUACAUAGCCGACCUGAGAGGGUGAUCGGCCACACUGGGACUGAGACACGGCCCAGACUCCUACGGGAGGCAGCAGUAGGGAAUCUUCGGCAAUGGGGGCAACCCUGACCGAGCAACGCCGCGUGAGUGAAGAAGGUUUUCGGAUCGUAAAGCUCUGUUGUAAGAGAAGAACGAGUGUGAGAGUGGAAAGUUCACACUGUGACGGUAUCUUACCAGAAAGGGACGGCUAACUACGUGCCAGCAGCCGCGGUAAUACGUAGGUCCCAAGCGUUGUCCGGAUUUAUUGGGCGUAAAGCGAGCGCAGGCGGUUAGAUAAGUCUGGAGUAAAAGGCUAUGGCUCAACCAUAGUGUGCUCUGGAAACUGUUUAACUUGAGUGCAAGAGGGGAGAGUGGAAUUCCAUGUGUAGCGGUGAAAUGCGUAGAUAUAUGGAGGAACACCGGUGGCGAAAGCGGCUCUCUGGCUUGUAACUGACGCUGAGGCUCGAAAGCGUGGGGAGCAAACAGGAUUAGAUACCCUGGUAGUCCACGCCGUAAACGAUGAGUGCUAGGUGUUGGGUCCUUUCCGGGACUCAGUGCCGCAGCUAACGCAUUAAGCACUCCGCCUGGGGAGUACGACCGCAAGGUUGAAACUCAAAGGAAUUGACGGGGGCCCGCACAAGCGGUGGA